GCAAGUCGAGCGGCAUCGAGUGAGCGCAGUUUACUGAGUUCAUGUCGGCGAGCGGCGGACGGGUGAGUAAAGUCUGGGAAUCUGGCCGAAGGAGGGGGAUAACUGCUGGAAACGGCAGCUAAUACCGCAUGAAGUCGCGAGACCAAAGUGGGGGACCUUCGGGCCUCACGCCUUCGGAUGAGCCCAGAUGAGAUUAGCUGGUAGGUAAGGUAAAGGCUUACCUAGGCGACGAUCUCUAGCGGGUCUGAGAGGAUAGCCCGCCACACUGGAACUGAGACACGGUCCAGACUCCUACGGGAGGCAGCAGUGGGGAAUAUUGCACAAUGGGCGAAAGCCUGAUGCAGCCAUGCCACGUGUGUGAAGAAGGCCUUCGGGUUGUAAAGCACUUUCAGCGAGGAGGAAGCGAUAAAUGCCAAUACCAUUUA
Molecule: ribosomal RNA, 425 nt
Filed under: Candidatus Williamhamiltonella defendens
Lineage: Bacteria; Pseudomonadati; Pseudomonadota; Gammaproteobacteria; Enterobacterales; Enterobacteriaceae
Description: bacterial SSU rRNA
Rfam family: Bacterial small subunit ribosomal RNA
Source: RNAcentral